This 500-nucleotide ribosomal RNA is filed under the name uncultured eukaryote. Its description in RNAcentral is "SSU rRNA". It matches the Rfam family "Eukaryotic small subunit ribosomal RNA", at positions 4 to 499 of the family's 1831-position model. The record is from RNAcentral.
CUGGUUGAUCCUGCCAGUGGUCAUAUGCUUGUCUCAAGGAUUAAGCCAUGCAUGUCUCAGUGUAAGCUUUUAUACGGUGGAACUGCGAAUGGCUCAUUAAAACAGUUAUAGUUUAUUUGAUGGUCACUCACUACUUGGAUAACCGUGGUAAUUCUAGAGCUAAUACAUGCGCCCAAAACCCGACUUCGCGGAAGGGUUGUGUUUAUUAGAUACAGAACCAACCUAGGCUCUGCCUGGUUUUGUGGUGAUUCAUAAUAACCGAACGAAUCGCAUGGCGUCAGCCGGCGAUGAAUCAUUCAAGUUUCUGACCUAUCAGGCCUCCGACGGUAGGGUAUUGGCCUACCGCGGCAUUGACGGGUAACGGAGACUUAGGGUUCGAUUCCGGAGAGGGAGCCUGAGAAACGGCCUACCACAUCUAAGGAAGGCAGCAGGGCGCGCAAAUUACCCAAUCCUGACACAGGGAGGUAGUGACAAGAAAUAACAAUGCAGAGCAUCCAUGU